CCCUUAGAUGUUCUGGGCCGCACACGCGUUACACUGAUGCAUUCAACGAGCUUAUAACCUUGGCCGAGAGGCCUGGGCAAUCUUGUUAACGUGCAUCGUGAUAGGGAUAGAUUAUUGAAAUUAUUAAUCUUGAACGAGGAAUUCCUAGUAAACGCAGAUCAUCAAUCUGCAUUGAUUACGUCCCUGCCCUUUGUACACACCGCCCGUCGCACCUACCGAUUGGAUGGUCCGGUGAAGCCUCGGGAUUGUGGUUCUUGCCGCUUUAUUGUGGCGUGACCGCGAGAACUUGUCUAAACCUUAUCAUCUAGAGGAAGGUGAAGUCGUAACA
RNAcentral lists this ribosomal RNA (328 nucleotides) under uncultured eukaryote. Its description in RNAcentral is "partial 18S ribosomal RNA". It matches the Rfam family "Eukaryotic small subunit ribosomal RNA", at positions 1470 to 1796 of the family's 1831-position model. The record is from RNAcentral.